UAGCCAAUGUAACUAAUUGCUGUGAGC
This 27-nucleotide non-coding RNA is filed under the name Rattus norvegicus (Norway rat). The record is from RNAcentral. Lineage: Eukaryota; Metazoa; Chordata; Mammalia; Rodentia; Muridae.